This 724-nucleotide ribosomal RNA is filed under the name uncultured bacterium. RNAcentral describes it as "bacterial SSU rRNA". It matches the Rfam family "Bacterial small subunit ribosomal RNA", at positions 28 to 776 of the family's 1533-position model. The record is from RNAcentral.
GAUGAACGCUGACAGAAUGCUUAACACAUGCAAGUCUACUUGAUCCUUCGGGUGAUGGUGGCGGACGGGUGAGUAACGCGUAAAGAACUUGCCCUGCAGUCUGGGACAACAUUUGGAAACGAAUGCUAAUACCGGAUAUUAUGUGAGUUUCGCAUGAAAUUCAUAUGAAAGCUAUAUGCGCUGCAGGAGAGCUUUGCGUCCUAUUAGCUAGUUGGUGAGGUAACGGCUCACCAAGGCGAUGAUAGGUAGCCGGCCUGAGAGGGUGAACGGCCACAAGGGGACUGAGACACGGCCCUUACUCCUACGGGAGGCAGCAGUGGGGAAUAUUGGACAAUGGACCAAAAGUCUGAUCCAGCAAUUCUGUGUGCACGAUGAAGUUUUUCGGAAUGUAAAGUGCUUUCAGUUGGGACGAAGUAAGUGACGGUACCAACAGAAGAAGCGACGGCUAAAUACGUGCCAGCAGCCGCGGUAAUACGUAUGUCGCAAGCGUUAUCCGGAUUUAUUGGGCGUAAAGCGCGUCUAGGCGGUUUGGUAAGUCUGAUGUGAAAAUGCGGGGCUCAACUCCGUAUUGCGUUGGAAACUGUCAAACUAGAGUACUGGAGAGGUGGGCGGAACUACAAGUGUAGAGGUGAAAUUCGUAGAUAUUUGUAGGAAUACCGAUGGGGAAGCCAGCCCACUGGACAGAUACUGACGCUAAAGCGCGAAAGCGUGGGUAGCAAACAGG